Molecule: ribosomal RNA, 497 nt
Filed under: uncultured bacterium
Lineage: Bacteria
Description: partial 16S ribosomal RNA
Rfam family: Bacterial small subunit ribosomal RNA
Source: RNAcentral
GACGAACGCUGGCAGCGUGCCUAAUACAUGCAAGUAGAACGCUGAAGAGAGGAGCUUGCUCUUCUUGGAUGAGUUGCGAACGGGUGAGUAACGCGUAGGUAACCUGCCUUGUAGCGGGGGAUAACUAUUGGAAACGAUAGCUAAUACCGCAUAACAAUGGAUGACACAUGUCAUUUAUUUGAAAGGGGCAAUUGCUCCACUACAAGAUGGACCUGCGUUGUAUUAGCUAGUAGGUGAGGUAAUGGCUCACCUAGGCGACGAUACAUAGCCGACCUGAGAGGGUGAUCGGCCACACUGGGACUGAGACACGGCCCAGACUCCUGCGGGAGGCAGCAGUAGGGAAUCUUCGGCAAUGGGGGCAACCCUGACCGAGCAACGCCGCGUGAGUGAAGAAGGUUUUCGGAUCGUAAGGCUCUGUUGUAAGUCAAGAACGGGUGUGAGAGUGGAAAGUUCACACUGUGACGGUAGCUUACCAGAAAGGGACGGCUAACUACGUG